CCUCAGUAACGGCGAGUGAAGCGGCAACAGCUCAAAUUUGAAAUCUGGCCUCCCUCGGGGUCCGAGUUGUAAUUUGUAGAGGAUGUUUCGGGCGCGGUGCCGGUCUAAGUCCCUUGGAACAGGGCGUCAGAGAGGGUGAGAAUCCCGUAUGGGACCGGCGGCCAACCCCACGUGAAACCCCUUCGACGAGUCGAGUUGUUUGGGAAUGCAGCUCAAAAUGGGUGGUAAAUUUCAUCUAAAGCUAAAUACUGGCCGGAGACCGAUAGCGCACAAGUAGAGUGAUCGAAAGAUGAAAAGCACUUUGGAAAGAGAGUCAAAAAGUACGUGAAAUUGUUGAAAGGGAAGCGCUUGCAACCAGACCUGCCCGCCGGCGAUCAGCCUCUAUUCUCAGGGGUGCACUCGUCGGCGAUCAGGCCAGCAUCGGUUCGGGCGGCGGGAUAAAGGCCCUGGGAAUGUAGCUCCCCUCGGGGAGUGUUAUAGCCCUCGGUGCAAUGCCGCCAGCCUGGACCGAGGACCGCGCUUCGGCUAGGAUGCUGGCGUAAUGGUUGUAAGCGACCCGUCUUGAAACACGGACCAAGGAGUAGAAUAUCUAUGCGAGUGUUUGGGCGUCAAACCCAUGCGCGUAAUGAAAGUGAACGGAGGUGAGAACCCUGAAGGGCGCAUCAUCGACCGAUCCUGAUGUCUUCGGAUGGAUUUGAGUACGAGCAUAGCUGUUCUGACCCGAAAGAUGGUGAACUAUGCCUGAAUAGGGUGAAGCCAGAGGAAACUCUGGUGGAGGCUCGCAGCGGUUCUGACGUGCAAAUCGAUCGUCAAAUUUGGGUAUAGGGGCGAAAGACUAAUCGAACCAUCUAGUAGCUGGUUCCUGCCGAAGUUUCCCUCAGGAUAGCAGUAACGUUUUCAGUUUUAUGAGGUAAAGCGAAUGAUUAGAGGCCUUGGGGUUGAAACAACCUUAACCUAUUCUCAAACUUUAAAUAUGUAAGAAGUCCUUGUUACUUAGUUGAACGUGGACAUUCGAAUGUACCGUUACUAGUGGGCCAUUUUUGGUAAGCAGAACUGGCGAUGCGGGAUGAACCGAACGCGAGGUUAAGGUGCCGGAAUGUACGCUCAUCAGACACCACAAAAGGUGUUGAUUCAUCUAGACAGCCGGACGGUGGCCAUGGAAGUCGGAACCCGCUAAGGAGUGUGCGCUGGCCGAUCGAGAUUCGUUACACGCUCCUCAUAUGGCGGUCAACGCCGUAGAGACCGCAAGCCGGUGCUCUAUCGUUCGAAAGUCGUGGAAUCGCCGCCGGCCUCCGGGCGGGCGACGCACCACGAGCCUACCCGCGGUAGGUCUACAGACUAAACCGAACGGGGCUCCCCCGAAGAACCUUUGAGAUAGUCGAGCCCACCUCUCUCGCCGGAGGUGGCCCCGCGGUGUAACAACUCACCGGCCGAAUGAAUCAGCCCUGAAAAUGGAUGGCGCUCAAGCGUGCUACCCAUACCUCGCCGCCAGGGUAGAAACGAUGCCCUGGCGAGUAGGCAGGCGUGGGGGUCCGUGACGAAGCCUUGGGAGUGAUCCCGGGUCGAACGGCCCCUAGUGC
RNAcentral lists this ribosomal RNA (1580 nucleotides) under Verseghya thysanophora. Its description in RNAcentral is "eukaryotic LSU rRNA". It matches the Rfam family "Eukaryotic large subunit ribosomal RNA", at positions 78 to 1445 of the family's 3401-position model. The record is from RNAcentral. Lineage: Eukaryota; Fungi; Ascomycota; Lecanoromycetes; Lecanorales; Lecanoraceae.